This 1414-nucleotide long non-coding RNA is filed under the name Mus musculus (house mouse). Its description in RNAcentral is "predicted gene, 34567". The record is from RNAcentral. Lineage: Eukaryota; Metazoa; Chordata; Mammalia; Rodentia; Muridae.
AUGUGGGCUUGCCUGCUUCUCUCUGCAGCUCUUGUGGCUGCAUCUUGUUUUCUGUAGUCCCAUGAGCUCCGAUGAGCAGGAAGGACCUCUUUGAUCUGUGAGGACUGGGGAGCAGGCUAAGUUCCCUGGGCACCCAUGUCCCGAGCACACUUGUAAGAGGCUGGACUUGGUCUUGGUCUUGGGGAGUAAGGCUUUGGAUCAUUCAGAAUGAGGCAGCAUUUGACAUCAAAGUGGUCACCUCCACAGCCGGUUUGUCCUGCUUAAUACUCAGAAGGAAGCAGAGGGACCAUCAGCCACCCGCAGAGAGCCUAUGGUCUACCUCCUAUGAAAGAAUGCACGAGCAGGUGAGAAGGAGACAAGGAACAUCAGUACACCACCUCUCACACUAGAGAUGCUCCACCUCCAACAUACUCAGCUGACUCUGCUGACUCCCUGGAUCUUCCUGAGCUGAUCCAGCCAGCUAAAGCACUUCCAUGUUCUCUGGGGUCUCAUUUUACCACCACUGAGGAAUCCUGGAAGGUUUCACCACGCCAGGUGGGCCAGAGAAGAGGGAAGACUGGUGUAGAGGGAGCCAAGAAUUCUCACUUGUUGAUGAAAGUAGGAUCCUGGGUCCUGUGAGUGUUAGAUGUCUGAUGUACCAUCCCUUGUGCAAUGGAGCCAGCCACCUUCCUAUGAAGAACAUUCAACUUGGUGAGAAGUCUCCAUGCUAUUUAGCAUUCUCUGUAAUAGAACCAACUUACAUUCUCAUCAAGAGCUAAGAGGCUUCCUGCUUGUCAGCUCUUGUCUGUGGCUGGUGCUAGGAGCUAUCUAUCCUAAAGAAAGUGUUGACACCUCACUGUGACUUUGAUUUGCAUUUUCCUGAGAUGACAGCUAGUUUUAAUGGUCAACUUGACAUAACAAAGAAUCACCUGGGAAGAGAGUCUCAAUGAGGAAUUAUUAAGAUGAGGUUGGCCUCUGGGCAUGCUUGUGAGGGAUUUUCUUAAUUGAGUUAAUUGAGGCUGAAGGUGGCAGCCUUAUUUCACGACUGGGUCCUGGGCUUUGCAAGAGUAGGGAAAGCUGGCUGAGCUCUAAGCACGCAAGCUUUCCCUACUCACUUUAGUUUCUCCCUGCUCACUGCUGAGAUGUGAGUGAAGGUUUCAAGUUCUGCCGACUCUGUCCUCCAGCGACCGACAAACUGUAACUUUGUAUCCUGAACCCUAAGAAGGAAGCCCUUUCUCUUCCAAGUUGCUAUUUGUUGACAGCUUCUUUUGAGACGAGUCUGCUUAGGAUCUCGGUCCAUUUUCCUGUGGUUCCCUGUUGAUUCCUUAUUGGGUGUCUGGCUUUUGAAUAUUUUCUCCCCUACCACAGGCUGCCUCUUUUGCUGUGCUGCACCCUUUUCUUUAACAUAAUGUCUUUUGUCCGCUUUCACUUUUGC